This 301-nucleotide ribosomal RNA is filed under the name uncultured bacterium. RNAcentral's name for it is "partial 16S ribosomal RNA". It matches the Rfam family "Bacterial small subunit ribosomal RNA", at positions 509 to 807 of the family's 1533-position model. The record is from RNAcentral.
CAGCCGCCGCGGUAAUACGAAGGGGGCUAGCGUUGUUCGGAAUCACUGGGCGUAAAGCGCACGUAGGCGGACCGUUAAGUCGGAGGUGAAAGCCUGGGGCUCAACCCCAGAACUGCCUUCGAUACUGGCGGUCUUGAGUAUGGUAGAGGUUGGUGGAACUCCGAGUGUAGAGGUGAAAUUCGUAGAUAUUCGGAAGAACACCAGUGGCGAAGGCGGCCAACUGGACCAUUACUGACGCUGAGGUGCGAAAGCGUGGGGAGCAAACAGGAUUAGAUACCCCCGUAGUCCCUGUCUCUUAUAC